RNAcentral lists this ribosomal RNA (471 nucleotides) under uncultured bacterium. RNAcentral's name for it is "bacterial SSU rRNA". It matches the Rfam family "Bacterial small subunit ribosomal RNA", at positions 355 to 825 of the family's 1533-position model. The record is from RNAcentral.
UGGGGAAUUUUGGACAAUGGGCGAAAGCCUGACGCAGCGACGCCGCGUGAGUGAUGAAGGCCUUCGGGUUGUAAAGCUCUGUGGGGAGAGAAGAAUAAGUGCGGGCUAAUACUCCGCAUGAUGACGGUAUCUCCUUAGCAAGCACCGGCUAACUCUGUGCCAGCAGCCGCGGUAAGACAGAGGGUGCAAACGUUGUUCGGAAUUACUGGGCGUAAAGCGAGUGUAGGCGGUUUGGUAAGUCGGAUGUGAAAGCCCCGGGCUCAACCCGGGAAGUGCACUCGAUACUGCCAAGCUAGAGUAUCGGAGAGGUUGGUGGAAUUCUCGGUGUAGAGGUGAAAUUCGUAGAUAUCGAGAGGAACACCGGUGGCGAAGGCGGCCAACUGGACGAAUACUGACGCUGAGACUCGAAAGCGUGGGGAGCAAACAGGAUUAGAUACCCUUGUAGUCCCUGAGCGGGCUGGCAAGGCGCAU